Long non-coding RNA from Helianthus annuus (common sunflower), 1434 nucleotides. RefSeq lists it as uncharacterized. Lineage: Eukaryota; Viridiplantae; Streptophyta; Magnoliopsida; Asterales; Asteraceae. The record is from RefSeq and is a predicted model, not a curated record. The transcript has 6 exons.
UAUAUUUUUUUCAUUUUUCUUCCCAUUUUAUCCUCCUCUCCUUACAUCCCCUUUCUUUCAAUUAGGCUUUAUUCAUACCAGCAUCGAUUCAAUUUUCAUUUUAAAUGCAAUUGAAGAUGUGGUGUUCAGGGACCGUCGGACUUCCCUUUCAACAUUGCACUCCUGCAUUCAAUUUCGUUUUACGUUUUCGAUUUCACCCUAUAUAGCCCCUCCGCAACCCUUUACGCAAACAAGGUAUGACAGAUUCUUCAGUUUGUUAUAUUCAGCUUUCGUGGGGUUCCGGUUAGUCGUACAGUCGUCGGAACACUGGUAACCUUGGUGAUCUCUGCAUCCCAUCACAGAGAAACCUUAGGCUUGUUAUGACAAGAAAUACCAGGGAAAUUUGAUGAUGACCGUGAAGAACUGUUGUCAGCUGCAAAUUAUGCUCGUAAUGCUAGCUAUCUAGCAUGUUCAAGCGCUUUUUGGGAAAAACUUGAACCUAUUUUAGCACUCAUUAUAGAGGAAUCCGUUAAUGAAUUUGGUUAAUGAAUUUGAAGAAGGAAAAAUUACCGAAAAUAUACCGCUUCAAGAUACUUUUGGUGAUUCAGCUUAUGAUACAUUUCACCAUGAUGAUUUCAGUGAGCCUAGAAAGAAGGAUAGGAGGGAAGUUGAAAUAGAGCUUCAUGUUGAUCUGGUAACCACAUCGUUUUGCUCAACUAAAGCAUAUAAAAAUAAAACAUAUUUUCAUGGAUUCGUAGGUUCCGUGUCAAUCUGAUAAGUGGUAACACUGAUUCGCUAGCAAGCUUCUUAUAUAUACUUCUUUAAGGGCUUAUCUGAUACGCACUGUGGGUUAUCUUUCAUUCUUUGUUCCAUAGUAUGUACCAACAUGACCUCAUAUUCUAUAGCUCAGAUGUGGGCCGUAUGCAGAAUGUAGGCUUUCUACAAGACCAACUGCUAUAGAAUCUAAAGGUCUAACGUUAGUAUCAGAAGUUGUGAUAAAAAAGGACGAAUAAUGUCAAACGAGACCCAAAACAUAUUAUUAUCUCAUGCUUUCAGCCUGGUAUAACCUUGCUUAUAAAGAAGCUUCAACAUAAAUACACGGUUAGUAAUUUAUAUUUUCGUUAGAGGUGGUCUGGGUUAGUUGUAUAAUGGACCGAGAUAGGUUCGGAUCGAAACGCGUCAGUCCAAGUGGGGUUGAGCUGCAAACAACUUAUUUGAAGUAUUUUUCUGUUUUAUUGUAGAUUCUUUGGGAUAGGUUUAAAAUGGGCCAAAAUGGAUUGGGUUGACUAACGUGUCGAACCUUCUCUCUUGUGUCGCUUCCCUUGUUGGGUAAUGGGUCAACACGGAUUAUGGUUGUCUUUGUUUCGUACCAGCUGGAAUGGGCCAAGUUGACCCUCAAAACACUUUUUCACCCUUAAAGAUAAUAUGUUAUGAAACUUAUUAUUACCAUUUAUA